GGGGUGAGAAACAUGUCGCAAGUGUCAACGACAAUAAAAUUUGUUGGGUAUUUCUUACCUAGCAAAGUUUCUUUAAUAUUUCCUUUUCAUCUCCAUCUCCCACGUUCUCAUUCUCUCUAUUUUUCCACUCUGCCUCCCACACUUGCUUGAUUCACUGAAGAAAAACCAAAAUAUUCACAGAACCCUUAACCCAACAGGAACCUCGCAAGCUGCAUCGUUCCUUCCAAGCCUUCCACAAGUUGCAAUCGUUCGUUUCAAGCCUUCUCAUAAGUGUUGGAUGUAGUGUUACUGGCUAACAAUCAUAUAAGUUUAAAGUUCUUAUUCAUACCCUUUCUGUCUCCGACGACGGUGGAGUUCAGUUCAGUUAGACUCGAGAUACUCAGAUAUUGAGAUAAGGUCAGAUGAAUGUGAAAUAUGUCUUUUCUCUCGGAUGGAUACGAAAUAAGAUGGCUCGAGUUGAACUGUUACAAUGAAUUGACAUUGACCUUGAAGUGUUUUGGCUUGCUCUUUACUUUGUUGCUGUAGCCACUCUUGCUGCACUUGUUGGGCAACAUUUGGUGAGGAAGCUAAUUUCCUUUUCUGAGUGGAAUAUCACUAGGCAAGUAUUCACGGGCUUUCCGAAUAUAUAACACAGUAUGGAAAAUUACAAGUGCUAUCGUAGUUGGAUGUACGAUCGUAUGUAUGCUGAGAGACGUGGACUUAAACCACUUUUUGAGGAAGGAGUUAAAUUGUUUAUUACAUGGGCAUUUGAUCAAAAAUGUUGUCGAACAGAGGGAUGAGUGAGAUGUCCGUGUCUUAAAUGUGGAUGUAGACGUAUAAUAAGUGAUUCGAAAGAAGUAGAAACUCAUUUGAAGAGAAAGGGAUUUAAGGAAAAUUAUUGGGUUUGGACAUCAAAUGGGGAACAAAUUAAAUGCUGAUGAAUAUGCCAGAGACUAGUAAUUUCCAACAUGGCUCCAGUAGUCGAUCACAGAUGGAACAUGAAGAACAAUUUAAUAUACACGAUGACAUAAUUGGCGAUGCUUUAUGGGUGAAUAUGGCCUACGAUGAACAACAAGAUAGUGAUGAGGAAGAGUUGCCGAAUGAGAAAGCUCAAAAUUUUUACGAGUUGUUAAAAGAAAUAAACACGCCAUUGUUUGAGGGUUCGUCAAACUAUAAAUUAUCUAUGUGUGUGAGAUUGUUGGCUGCGAAGUCAAACUGAAAUGUUCUUUCACAAGAGCAAAUAAUGCUUACACAACAACAAAUUCAACAACAAGUGCAAUAACAAAUACAAUAGCAAAUGCAACAACAAAUGCAAAAAUUAUUUCAACAACAAUAUGGUGGUGGUGGAUUUAGAGCGGUUGAUAACCAAAGAGUGGUAGACGAGAAUGACGAGUGUUACGUUACAGGAUAGUAUUUGGCUUUGCGGGUGGUAUGCACCUGGCAAACUUGAGUUUUUUUUUAGUGUAUAUCUCCCCACAAUGUGCAUGCCAAUUUUCUAGUAGCAAUUUGUCAUUUUUCUUCAGAACUCACCACUUUUUCACCUUUUUUCUUAAUUUCUUCACUUCUUUAUUUUGUUCUUAUUUUUAUUCAAACUUCAACCUAAUUAGUUGAAAAUGACUAAAAACAAAGACAAAUACUUAUAAAAUUACAUGCUGAUAGAGUGUCAUUAAUAACCACUAAAAUCUUAAUCAUAUAUUAUUGAUCUGAUACGGUGUUAGGGUGAAUUCGCUGCAUGGUCCAUGUAUUUUGGGUCAUUCCCACAUCAUAGAUCUUUUAAAAUAUCUUCUUUAGCCGUUAGAUGGAUCCGAUAACCCAUUUAUGAGGUCCCCUAUACCGAAAAAGGUACACUUAAAUAUUUUAUAGUACUUACCAAAUAUGGAUCACACAAUCAAUCAUGGACAUAUAUAAUAAAUUAAGUUCAGGGGCUUGUAGCCUUGUACAAAAGCGUUACUGUGUCACACUUAUACAAAUACAACAUAACAAAGUUCAAACACUCAUGACAGACACAACUUUUUUUCCACUACAAUAAUUGAUUUUGCAGUGCUUCCUUUGUCCUAAUUUUAGCAUGAGGCCACAAUUACAGACUGUGCAGCAUUGAUAGAUUUCACAGUGAAUCUGUUGAAUCCAGCCAUUUUAAUCACAUGUUCCCACUCUUUCAGUGUUCUUUCUUUACCAAUGUUCGUAUGUGCCAUCAUCACCAUGUCUAACAUUAACCCUACGUCUUCAUACUUGUUGUGUUUUCCUCCUCCUUCUUCUUCUUCUAUAACUGCUUCCACAAUAAUCACUUUUCCAUUUUCUUUUGGUAUAGCUUCCCUACUAUUCUUUAAGAUUUUGAUGCACUCUUCAUCCCCCCAAUCAUGCAAAACCCACU
Long non-coding RNA from Vicia villosa (hairy vetch), 2350 nucleotides. RefSeq lists it as uncharacterized. The transcript has 7 exons. NCBI's taxonomy places the organism in Eukaryota, Viridiplantae, Streptophyta, Magnoliopsida, Fabales, Fabaceae. The record is from RefSeq and is a predicted model, not a curated record.